This 721-nucleotide ribosomal RNA is filed under the name uncultured Salinivibrio sp. RNAcentral describes it as "bacterial SSU rRNA". It matches the Rfam family "Bacterial small subunit ribosomal RNA", at positions 594 to 1315 of the family's 1533-position model. Lineage: Bacteria; Pseudomonadati; Pseudomonadota; Gammaproteobacteria; Vibrionales; Vibrionaceae. The record is from RNAcentral.
GUGAAAGCCCGGGGCUCAACCUCGGAACCGCAUUUGAAACUGGCAGGCUAGAGUCUUGUAGAGGGGGGUAGAAUUUCAGGUGUAGCGGUGAAAUGCGUAGAGAUCUGAAGGAAUACCAGUGGCGAAGGCGGCCCCCUGGACAAAGACUGACGCUCAGAUGCGAAAGCGUGGGUAGCAAACAGGAUUAGAUACCCUGGUAGUCCACGCCGUAAACGCUGUCUACUUGGAGGUUGAGGUUUAGACUUUGGCUUUCGGCGCUAACGCAUUAAGUAGACCGCCUGGGGAGUACGGCCGCAAGGUUAAAACUCAAAUGAAUUGACGGGGGCCCGCACAAGCGGUGGAGCAUGUGGUUUAAUUCGAUGCAACGCGAAGAACCUUACCUACUCUUGACAUCCAGAGAACUUUCCAGAGAUGGAUUGGUGCCUUCGGGAACUCUGAGACAGGUGCUGCAUGGCUGUCGUCAGCUCGUGUCGUGAAAUGUUGGGUUAAGUCCCGCAACGAGCGCAACCCUUAUCCUUGUUUGCCAGCACGUAAUGGUGGGAACUCCAGGGAGACUGCCGGUGAUAAACCGGAGGAAGGUGGGGACGACGUCAAGUCAUCAUGGCCCUUACGAGUAGGGCUACACACGUGCUACAAUGGCAGAUACAGAGGGCAGCGAAGCUGCGAAGUGGAGCGAAUCCCUUAAAGUUUGUCGUAGUCCGGAUUGGAGUCUGCAACUCGA